RNAcentral lists this transfer RNA (118 nucleotides) under archaeon. RNAcentral's name for it is "tRNA-OTHER". The record is from RNAcentral.
GCGGAGGUAGUGGUCAAAGGCGCCAGUUCGUCUUGAGUUUUGACGCUCGGAUGACAGGUGAUACUCAAGAUCUGGUCUCUUAGUGAGUUCGUCGGUUCAAAUCCGGCCCUCCGCACCA